Non-coding RNA from Paramuricea clavata, 287 nucleotides. NCBI's taxonomy places the organism in Eukaryota, Metazoa, Cnidaria, Anthozoa, Malacalcyonacea, Plexauridae. The record is from the annotation of a GenBank genome assembly.
CGAUGUUGGUCAAAUAGCAGAAGCUGUUGUUGGCUUUUAGCCCUUAAUGGAUUUUGAUUAUCCCAAACAACACGAGCUAAGAUUGGCAGUCCUACAAUUUCUUGUUUUUAAGGACAACCGAAUCCCAAACAACAUUAGUGCAAUUUGCAGUACCAUAUUAAAGUCGUAUUAAAAAUAUAAAGAAGGCUCUGCAUGAGUAACUCAACGAUUAAACUGUAGAUACUGUAGGUACAAAUUAGUUUCAGAUUCCAUAUAAUACAUUCUUUAAUCCUGUUUAUUUUGAUAUU